Molecule: ribosomal RNA, 420 nt
Filed under: uncultured bacterium
Lineage: Bacteria
Description: bacterial SSU rRNA
Rfam family: Bacterial small subunit ribosomal RNA
Source: RNAcentral
UAAGGAAUAUUGCUCAAUGGGAGAAAUCCUGAAGCAGCAACGCCGCGUGGAGGAUGAAGGGUCUAUGACUUGUAAACUCCUGUAAAGAAGGAAAAAAUUCCCAUUUGCUGGGAGAUGAUGGUACUUCUGGAGUAAGCCCCGGCUAACUACGUGCCAGCAGCCGCGGUAAUACGUAGGGGGCAAGCGUUGUCCGGAUUUACUGGGUGUAAAGGGUGCUCAGGCGGAUUUGUAAGUCAGAGGUGAAAUCUUACAGCUUAACUGUGAAACUGCCUUUGAUACUUUUGUUCUUGAGUUCGGGAGAGAGAGACGGAAUUCCAGGUGUAGUGGUGAAAUACGUAGAGAUCUGGAAGAACACCAGUUGCGAAGGCGGUCUCUUGGUCCGACACUGACGCUGAGGCGCGAAAGCGUGGGGAGCAAACA